Long non-coding RNA from Neopelma chrysocephalum (saffron-crested tyrant-manakin), 184 nucleotides. RefSeq lists it as uncharacterized. The transcript has 3 exons. The record is from RefSeq and is a predicted model, not a curated record. NCBI's taxonomy places the organism in Eukaryota, Metazoa, Chordata, Aves, Passeriformes, Pipridae.
GAAAAGAUAAAGAGAGUAGUUCCCUGACACAUGGUUGCCCUAGUUAGAACAGCUCAGACCAGCCAUCACUGUGUGGGUGUAACCCAAAACUGUGUAUUCUACACCCUCCAUGCCAUUUCCCAGAAACUGUUGACAAUAGACCACUUGCAGCAGCUGCCCAGAGCACGCCUGACCCCUCAGGCUA